CAAAAAAUAGUUUAGUAGAGAAUACUAGCUUUGGGGGCUAGUGGCGGGGGUUCAAGCCCCUCUUUUUUGA
Molecule: transfer RNA, 70 nt
Filed under: Pseudalutarius nasicornis (rhino leatherjacket)
Lineage: Eukaryota; Metazoa; Chordata; Actinopteri; Tetraodontiformes; Monacanthidae
Description: tRNA-Pro
Rfam family: tRNA
About the family: Transfer RNA (tRNA) molecules are approximately 80 nucleotides in length. Their secondary structure includes four short double-helical elements and three loops (D, anti-codon, and T loops).
Source: RNAcentral